UACGGGGGGGGCAAGCGUUGUUCGGAAUUAUUGGGCGUAAAGGGCUCGUAGGCGGCCAACUAAGUCAUACGUGAAAUCCCUCGGCUUAACCGGGGAACUGCGUCUGAUACUGGAUGGCUUGAGUUCGGGAGAGGGAUGCGGAAUUCCAGGUGUAGCGGUGAAAUGCGUAGAUAUCUGGAGGAACACCGGUGGCGAAGGCGGCAUCCUGGACCGAUACUGACGCUGAGGAGCGAAAGCCAGGGGAGCAAACGGG
RNAcentral lists this ribosomal RNA (253 nucleotides) under uncultured bacterium. RNAcentral describes it as "partial 16S ribosomal RNA". It matches the Rfam family "Bacterial small subunit ribosomal RNA", at positions 524 to 776 of the family's 1533-position model. The record is from RNAcentral.